GCCUGUAUGAUAGUAGUCCCAUUCGAUUUUGGGUACUCACACAGCCGUCUUAAUUUGUAUCUGAUAUAUCACAAUUAUUGAUUUGUGUAAAUUGAACUAUCUUCACAUCCCUGGAUGAAUCUCAUUGGAUAUUGGGUCUUGCUAAGUUGCUGAGGGCCUUACUACAUUGCUGAGG
Long non-coding RNA from Marmota flaviventris (yellow-bellied marmot), 175 nucleotides. RefSeq lists it as uncharacterized. The record is from RefSeq and is a predicted model, not a curated record. Lineage: Eukaryota; Metazoa; Chordata; Mammalia; Rodentia; Sciuridae.